This 460-nucleotide ribosomal RNA is filed under the name uncultured bacterium. RNAcentral describes it as "partial 16S ribosomal RNA". It matches the Rfam family "Bacterial small subunit ribosomal RNA", at positions 338 to 795 of the family's 1533-position model. The record is from RNAcentral.
CCUACGGGUGGCAGCAGUGAGGAAUAUUGGUCAAUGGCCGGAAGGCUGAACCAGCCAUGCCGCGUGAAGGUCAGUGCCCUAUGGGCGUUAAACUUCUUUUGUGCGGGAGCAAUAAUGGUCACGUGUGGCCAGACGAGAGUACCGUACGAAUAAACAUCGGCUAACUCCGGGCCAGCAGCCGCGGUAAUACGGGGGAUGCAAGCGUUAUCCGGACUUAUUGGGGUUAAAGGGUGCGUAGGCUGUGAGGUAAGUCAGCGGUGAAAUGCCCCCGCUUAACGGGGUGAAGUGCCAUUGAUACUGCCUUGCUGGAAUGCGGAUGCCGUGGGAGGAAUGUGUGGUGUAGCGGUGAAAUGCAUAGAUAUCACACAGAACACCGAUUGCGAAGGCAUCUCACGAAUCCGCGAUUGACGCUGAUGCACGAAAGCGUGGGUAUCAAACAGGAUUAGAUACCCGUGUAGUC